This 88-nucleotide transfer RNA is filed under the name Cristinia sonorae. RNAcentral describes it as "tRNA-Pro". It matches the Rfam family "tRNA". Rfam says of the family: Transfer RNA (tRNA) molecules are approximately 80 nucleotides in length. Their secondary structure includes four short double-helical elements and three loops (D, anti-codon, and T loops). Lineage: Eukaryota; Fungi; Basidiomycota; Agaricomycetes; Agaricales; Stephanosporaceae. The record is from RNAcentral.
GGCCUGGUGGUCUAGUAGUAUGAUUCCUUCUUAGGGUUCUUCGAGAGUCACAUGGAGGAGGUCCCGGGUUCAAUUCCCGGCCAGGCCC